AAGAUCCGACUACGAAACCAAAAUAAAAAAGACUGCCCCAAAUGCUAGACCCCAACUAAGCUCCACUACUGAUCAACAGUAGUCCCAAAUGAGUUUAUUUCAUUGCGUAGUGCGGGUCAUUAAAAUAGAGAACAAUUAUCAUUCUACAAGUAAAAUACUUAAAAGGGGAAAAUUAACAAGGCUCCAACAUCCAAGGAAGGAAUUACAGCAUUAGCUCUCAAGCCUGGCAGGGCAAAAGCUCUUAGGCGGCAACUGCAUGUUUUGAGAAACAAGCCAUCAAUGAAAUGAAAUGAAAUAACUAAUGCCCUACGAGAGUAACUAUGACAAAAAAUAUAGCUCCAUCUGGAAUUAAAUCCAUAGCUAAAACAUUAAUUUCAUCAUGUACGGCUGUGGGAAUAAAGACCAACUGAAAUUACAUAAACUCGUAUCAUAAAAGUCAAACAACUUCUACGAGAAGAAUUUACAGUAACUCUGUACUGUGAAAGGAAGUCAAACGCCUGAGUUCCAGAAAUUAAUGUGAUAAGAUUACCCAAUAGAAAUCUCUAGGUUAUAAACAAAGAUGUUUCAAGCGUCAUUCACUUACAAGUCUGUACCAUUAAUUUCUAACGUCCAGCUAAUUCAAUUCCUUUUCACAAUUCAUAUCCAAUUCAAUUCGUGGCAUUUGCUUCUGAAUCAGGUUUCACAACAUGGUCUAGGUAACUUGUUUCAGAACGAUAUUCCAGCUUGUUUCUCCAGAGUAGCAAUUGUUGCAAGGAUGCAGUGAAAAUUGUGAAAUUUCGUGCCGUUAUUUAAAUCCCAUCUCGUAGGGUAAAGAGACGAAGCUGAUGACAACACACGCUCUACCGAGCUUUUCAGCACCUUCCACAAAUCAGAGGAACUUGCAAGAGGAUAGUUAAACUCGGCAACAAUCAGAAUUAAAGCGAGUGAUAAAACAGAGGCCAAUAACCAACAGAAGGAAUAAAGAUGCUAGAUCAUGGCUCAGAUCGGUAUAUAACAGGUUUUUCAGUCAAGAAUUUUCAGAAGCAGAACUGGCAUGUUUGCUUAAAGUGUUUAUCAUCACCGCCAUUUAUCAAUAUAGCAACAUAAACAAACCAAGAACAGUAACAAAAGAAUGCUUUGGUAUUUGCAGUGGCUCAUAUUAAGAAAUUCAACCAUGUUUUCCCUUGUACUUCACGAGUUAAUCAGAAGCACGGGUAAGAUUCUAAUCACUGCCACCAAACCACAAUCCAAGAUCCAACGCAAAAACAGAGGAAAAAAGAUGUGAUGCGAAUGUAUCCGUUACUCUGACACAGGCUGCUCAUCCACGCGUGUCGCGGCCUGCAACACUGAACGGCAGCGUGGAUCUAGCACAGCAUUGGGGCUUUCCUUCAUCACAGCGGACAGAGGUCCGUCCGACAAGCCCGGGGUUAGCAUCGUGCAGAAGAAAAUUACUCAUCGCCAAGAGAAGAACAAGCAAAAAGGGGCAGAGCAAAAAAGUGUACGAACGCAACAAUCAUAUUGCCUACGGGAAGCCAUGGCAAUUGAAAAGAUUUCUUGACGCGAUCCCGCCAAUACGAAUUUCUUACGUCACAGAAUCAGAAAACUAAACUAUGAUAGAUCAAGGCUCAAAUCGGUAUAUUGGUUUUUCAAUCAUUAACUUUCAGAAGCAGAACUGGCAUGUUUUUUUAACAUGCACAACUGGCAUGUUAGAUUGAAGUGUUUAUCAUCACCGACAUGUACAAAAAAACAUAAUAAACAAAAAAGAUCAGAAAGAAAAAGGGAUUCAGUAUUUGUAGCACAUUUUUCCCAUAAUUUGGUUGUGACAACGAUGCAUUUUUGGUGCCUGUAGUGUUCUUUGCAGCCUGAUCAGCAUCUUACUGUAGCUUUCAUUUGACUGCAUAGACACAGGUUCAGGUGAUACAGAUUCAAUUUUUACCAAUUUUACAUGUUAGUGCAGAUACAGAUCCAUGAGUUACCUGCAUUCUGCAACUUUUACCUGUUGUUUACAUUUAUCAAUUUGCAGAGUACAAGAAUUUGCAAGACAUCAAACUGUUAAAAUGAGAAAUAAGUAGUAGGAAGCGCCUGGGAGUUUAUUUCAUUGCGUAGUGCAGCUCAUUAAAAUAGAGAAUAAUUAUCAUUCUGAUUGAAGACCCUACUUAAUAAUUAUCAUUCUGAUUGAAGACCCUACUUAUCACAAGAUCAUGGUUUGAACUUUGUAAAUGAAAAAUUAAGUAAAGAUUAUAUUUAGAAAAAAUACUGGACAAAAUUAACAAGGCUCCGACAUCCAAGGAAGGUAUUAGCUCCCAAGCCUGGCAGGGCAAAAGCUCUUAGUGGCAAAUGCUUUAGUUAUUUCCCCAAUAUCAAAUCAAUGAAAUGAAAUAACAACAAACGCCCUAUCAGAGUAACUAUGACAAAAAAUAUAGCUCCAUCUGGAAUUAAAUCCAUAGCUAAAACAUUAAUUUCAUCAUGUAGGGCUGUGGGAAUAAAGACAAGCUGAAAUUACAACUUCUUCCAGAAGAAUUUACAAUAACUCCAGUACCAUGAAAGGAAGUCAAACGACUGAGUUCCAGAAAUUAACGCAAUAAGAUUACCCAAUAGAAAUCUCUUGGUUAUAAAACCAUGCCAUAAAGAUGUUCCAAGCGUCAUUUCACUUACAAGUUCAAUGUCUGCACCGUUACUGCAUUAGCUACUAAUUCGUGCUAGAGUCCAGCAAAUUCGAUUACUUUAAACAAUUCAUAUCCAAUUCGAUUCAUAGCAUUUGUUUCUGAAUCGGGUUUCAAGUUCACAAUAUGGUCUAAGUAACUUGUUUCUCCAGAGUAGCAGUUGUUGCGAGGAUGCAGUGAAGAUUUGUGAAAUUUCGUGCCGUUAUUUAACUCCCAUCUCGUAGGAUCAAGAGACGAAGCUGAUGACAACACAUGAUGUACCGAGAUUUUCAGCCUCUUCCACAAAUCAGAGGAACUUGCGAGAGGAUAGUUAAACUCGGCAACAAUCAUAAAUCAAGCCAGUGAAACAGAGAGCAACAACCAAAAGAAGGAAUGAAGAUUAGAUCAUGGCUCAGAUCAGUAUAUAACAGAUUUUUCAGUCAUGAAUUGUCAGAAGCAGAACUGGCAUGUUUGCUUGAAGUGUUUAUCAUCACCGCCAUGUACAAUCAAUAUCAAACCAAGAACAGUAAAAAAAGGAAGCAUUUGGUAUUUACAGUGGCUCAUAUUAAGAAAUUCAACCAUGUUUUCCCUUGUACUUCAUGAGUUAAUCAGAAGCGCGGGUAAGAUUCUAAUCACUGCCACCAAAAAACCACCCAAGAUCCGAAGCAAAAACAGAUGUGAUGUGAAUGUAUCCGUUACUCUGACACAGGCUGCUCAUCCACGCGUAGUGUCGCGGCCUGCAACACUGAACGGCGGCGUGGAUCUAGCACAGCAUUGGGGCUUUCCUUCAUCACAGUGGACCGAGGUCCGUCCGACAAGCCCGGGGUUAGCAUCGUGCAGAACCAAGAAAAUCACUCAUCGGCGACAAGAGAAAAACAAGCAAAACGAAGGGAGAGAGAACAAAAAAAGAAUUGUACGCAAGCAACAAUCAUAUUGCCUACUGGAAGCCAUGGCAAUUGAAACGAUUUCUUGACGCGUCGAUCUAUCCCCUCCCCGAGAAGAUUGGCGGCAUGGGAGCCGCCAACUUAUCAAGAAUCGAGAGAGGAAAACGCAAGUAAGCAGGAUUUCGAUUUAUAAAAGAAAAAGUAAGAAGCAAAUCGCGGACGGGAAAAGAGAGGGCGAGAGCGAGAGGUAGGGGACGAAGAUACAGGGGGGGCGGGGGGCGGGGGCGGGGGCGGCGGCGCGGGCUGGGAACCCUAGGAUGGUGGUGGGAUUGGGCGAUCGCUUCGGAGUUUAUUUAUAGCCUCCCUGGCGGCGAGUGGAAGGAGAGGCGUGGCGCGGCGUGGGAAAGGAGAAAACCUAGGAGGAGUUUUUGCGGGCCUCUUUGCGAUGACCGUUUCAGGAGAUGGGCUGAGUAGCAAAACUGGGCCUGGAAUUUCUUUUGUGUACGGUGCAAUUUUGGCUAAAAAAAUAUGCCUAAAAAUCCCCAAAAAAAGAUGCCUAAAAAAGGCUAAAAAAUAUUAUUGUGCGUGUGCAUGGCUCGCUUUUCUUUCUUCCACAUGAAGAAAGAAAAGGCGAUCUCGCCAGCCGCCACGAGAGUUUUCUUCCGCCGAUGACCUUGGUCGUUGGUGGUGAGGGUGAUUGCCGGAUCCACGUGUGUGGAUUGUAUAGUUUUAGGUUUUAGGCCUUGGUAGCUUAGGUUUUUGGGUUGUUUAAUGUCUUGGCUUUAGCGGCGGCGAUGGCGAUGUUGAAUAAAGAAUCUUCAAAUCCUUCCCUGACAAGGUGAUCGGCCCUAUGGUUGGAGAUGGAUUUGGAAAGAAGAUUGAUCAAGCAAGGAUGGCGUGGCGGCAGCGGCAUCCUCAUUGUCGACUUAUGACCUCAGGCUCCGUCAUUGCGACUGUGUUUGCUUCAGCACCAGCGCGGAUCUUGGGAUGUGGUCCAGGAACGGAUAUAGAUUGUGGUCUGCAUCAGGGGCAUCUGGAAGAUGGCGGGUCAUGUGUUGGGUUCGUGUUUUGUGUUUGACAGGUAUGGUUUUCUCCUCCGACGUAUUGGUUGUGUGGGGGUCCAGAUAUGGAGUUCGAUGGCGUGUAUGGGUGUGUUGCCUUGAUCUGAUUCGUUCAACAGCAAUGGCUUCGCCUUUGGUAAGCCAUUCUAGAGGUCCCCAAAGUUGCAUAUAAGCGACGGAGCCGCGUCGAGCUCAAGUGAGGAUGUGAUCCGUCAUUUCCCCCCUCUUUGGUGGCUGUUGUGAUGGCGUCGGAGGCAAGUGACAGACGUUGUUGUCAACCUUAGGGGAUUCCUCAAUCUUAAUUGUAUUUUUCUUUUUGAAUGGCGUUUCUUUGUGUAAAGUCUAGCAUUUUGCUAUCUUUUCAGUUUUGUACAUGGUUGGUAUUAUGAUUUUUAUGAUAUAAAUGAGACAUGUGUCACCAUGCAAAAAAAUGUGUUUUUUAGAGAAAAUCGUUGUCACUUUAUUAACUGUUCAUAGCUCCCUCGGUAGCAAUCUCCAAGCUAACACACCCAGGAGAUACAUGGAGCCAAGUUUUACAGAGAGAUCUAAUACAACCUUCCCUAACUAGGACAUCUAUGGCUUUAUUCGCCGAACACCGCACCCAAGCAACCCUAAACUCCUCAAAAGAGUCCAGUAAACCUUUGAUCUCCUCAACUGGUUGCCCAUUAGUUGAGAGAUCCUUUUGCACAUUCUUGAUCUUACUCACCGCUCCUAGAGAGUUCGUUUCGGGGACCACCUUCUGGAUUUGUAAUUCUUGUGCUGGGAUCAGAGCCAUCUGGCACGCCAAUAGCUCGGACACCUCUGCACCGUGAGUGGAGGGGGGAAAUAUUGUGUUACAAUAAGCCUUUCAUAGCAUUCUCUCUAAAAACAUCUCGUAUAAUGACAUGUUUUUUAACCCAAAACUCCAGUCUGUUGUAACCAUUAUGAAAUGUUACAGUCCGCUAUAGGCUGCACCAAAAGAACUCGCCAGUUCAAGGAUGGCGUUUUGGCACUUCGGGCAUAUUGCUCUCCAUAACUAUAGUUUCAUAGUUUGGCUUGGUGUUUGUGUCACUUACUUGCCUCCCACCCCCAUCCCCCCCUCGCACCCCUGCCCGGAAGGGGCCCUAACAGAUUUGUUCUCCUUUGUGAGGUAAAAGGAAAGUUAGUGAACCUGCAAAUAUCGACAAAACAACAAGUAGUAUUGACCAAGGAAAACAACUCAUGAUAAAGACAAAUAUACGUUUUGACCAGAAAAGCCAUAUAUUUCUUGCUGACAUCGAAUCCUUGUUUUGUCAAUUGAGUCUUAGUAGCUACUUAUGCUAACUUUUACAGUCGAAUAAUAUUUCUAAUGAAAUGUGCACAUUGGACCCUAACAAUGACCAUAACCGAGAGUCUCGUGCCAUAAGGCUAUAAGUGUACCCACAAAGAAAAAAAGGCUAUAAGUGGUGUUUUUGGUUUGUUAGUUAUAGAAUCUUGGUUUGGCGAUCAAGGAUCUCUAUAAUGUUAUGUGCCACACAUUUAAGAAAACCCUUAAGGAACAUUGAGUUUUUUUUGCAAGGAACUUCCUUGAGCCUCACAAAGCUUGCAUGUACCUCAUAUCGCAUCCAAUUUUGGUGCCUACGCAACAAGUUAUUCAACAUGCCCUUGAUUAACGCAUUAACACUAUUCAUGUAACUAUAUGUUCAUACAUGAGCCCUCUCUAAAACCUUUAGAAUGUCAUUAUAAGUGUGACGCCCGGAUAAUCAAGCUACAGUAAACCUCUGCUAAUGAUACCACGUUGCCUCAAUUACUGUUGCUAACCUCGCGUUAAAUCAAAAAGUUUCAAAAUCAAAUUUGAUUUUUUGACAAACAAUAAAAGUAUUCAAAUAUAAAAUAUAAAAUGUUCGCGUUGUGACCAAUAAUGCAAAGGUAAUUAUGGUGGAGAAGCCACAUUUUUAUAAAAUAAUUAAAUGCACUAAGGUAUUUAAGACAGUAGCUAAAAUCAAUAAUGAAAUGCCUUUUAAAAAAUUUAUAAAAUAUUAAACUAUCUUAUUUAGUUGACCAAACUUAGGUGACAGUAAUAUAUUUAUUUAGACUAAAUUAGGGACUAUUUUUAUAAUCUAUAAAACUAAAAUAAAGAGAGAAACUAGAAAUAAAACAGAAAAAGAAAAAUACAAAACAAAUAAAAAAAUAAAGAAAAGGGGCAAAGCCUCCCCUCCCUCACUGGGCCGAAUGGCCCAUCUGGACAUCUAGGCCACCAGGAGGCCCACCCCAUCCCGCGUUUAUGUUGGGUUUCGUAGUAAUUUCAAAAAAUUUCCUACGCACACGCAAGAUCAUGUGAUGCAUAGCAACGAGAGGGGAGAGUGUUGUCUACGUACCCACGCAGACCGACUGCAGAAGCGUUGACACAACGUAGAGGAAGUAGUCGUACGUCUUCGCGAUCCAACCGAUUAAGCACCGAAACUACGACACCUCCGAGUUCGAGCACACGUUCAGCUCGAUGACGAUUCCCGGACUCCGAUCCAGCAAAGUGUCGGGGAAGAGUUCCGUCAGCACGACGGCGUGGUGACGAUCUUGAUGUACUACAGCAGCAGGGCUUCGCCUAAACUCCGCUACAGUAUUAUCGAGGACUAUGGUGGCUGGGGGCACCGCACACGGCUAAGGAAUAGAUCACGUGGAUCAACUUGUGUGUUUCUGGGGCGCCCCUGCCUCCGUAUAUAAAGGACUAGAGGGGGGAGGCUGGCCGGCCAAGGGUGGCGCGCCAGGAGAGUCCUACUCCCUCUGGGAGUAGGAUCCCCCCCAAUCCUAGUUGGAAUAGGACUCCUUGAGGGGGGAAAGAGAGAGGGGGCUGGCCACCUCUCCUAGUCCUAAUAGGACUAGGGGAGGGGGGAGGCGUGCGGCCACCUUUGGGCUGCUCCUUUCUCCUUUCCACUAAAGCCCACUAAGGCCCAUAUAGCUCCCGGGGGGGUUCCGGUAACCUCCCGGUACUCCGGUAAAAUCCCGAUUUCACCCGGAACACUUCCGAUAUCCAAACAUAGGCUUCCAAUAUAUCAAUCUUUAUGUCUCGACCAUUUCGAGACUCCUCGUCAUGUCCGUGAUCACAUUCGGGACUCCGAACAACCUUCGGUAUAUCAAAAUGCAUAAACUCAUAAUAUAACUGUCAUCGUAACCUUAAGCGUGCGGACCCUACGGGUUCGAGAACAAUGUAGACAUGACCGAGACACGUCUCCGGUCAAUAACCAAUAGCGGGACCUGGAUGCCCAUAUUGGCUCCUACAUAUUCUACGAAGAUCUUUAUCGGUCAGACCGCAUAACAACAUACGUUGUUCCCUUUGUCAUCGGUAUGUUACUUGCCCGAGAUUCGAUCGUCGGUAUUCCAAUACCUAGUUCAAUCUCGUUACCGGCAAGUCUCUUUACUCGUUCUGUGAUACAUCAUCCCGCAACUAACUCAUUUAGUUGUAAUGCUUGCAAGGCUUAAGUGAUGUGCAUUACCGAGAGGGCCCAGAGAUACCUCUCCGACAAUCGGAGUGACAAAACCUAAUCUCGAAAUACGCCAACCCAACAUGUACCUUUGGAGACACCUGUAGUACUCCUUUAUAAUCACCCAGUUACGUUGUGACGUUUGGUAGUACCCAAAGUGUUCCUCCGGUAAACGGGAGUUGCAUAAUCUCAUAGUUAUAGGAACAUGUAUAAGUCAUGAAUAAAGCAAUAGCAACAUACUAAACGAUCGGGUGCUAAGCUAAUGGAAUGGGUCAUGUCAAUCAGAUCAUUCUCUUAAUGAUGUGAUCCCGUUAAUCAAAUAACAACUCAUUGUUCAUGGUUAGGAAACAUAACCAUCUUUGAUUAACGAGCUAGUCAAGUAGAGGCAUACUAGUGACACUUUGUUUGUCUAUGUAUUCACACAUGUAUUAUGUUUUCGGUUAAUACAAUUCUAGCAUGAAUAAUAAACAUUUAUCAUGGUUAUAAGGAAAUAAAUAAUAACUUUAUUAUUGCCUCUAGGGCAUAUUUCCUUCAGUAUCCCACUUGCACUAGAGUCAAUAAUCUAGAUUACACCGUAAUGAUUCUAACACCCAUGGAGCCUUGGUGCUGAUCAUGUUUUGCUCGUGGAAGAAGCUUAGUCAACGGGUCUGCAACAUUCAGAUUCGUAUGUAUCUUGCAAAUCUCUAUAUCUCCCACCUGGACUAGAUCCCGGAUGGAAUUGAAGCGUCUCUUGAUGUGCUUGGUUCUCUUGUGAAAUCUGGAUUCCUUUGCCAAGGCAAUUGCACCAGUAUUGUCACAAAAGAUUUUCAUUGGACCCGAUACACUAGGUAUGACACCUAGAUCGGAUAUGAACUCCUUCAUCCAGACUCCUUCAUUUGCUGCUUCCGAAGCAGCUAUGUACUCCGCUUCACAUGUAGACCCCGCUACAACGCUUUGUUUAGAACUGCACCAACUGACAGCUCCACCGUUUAAUGUAAACACGUAUCCGGUUUGCGAUUUAGAAUCGUCCGGAUCAGUGUCAAAGCUUGCAUCAACGUAACCUUUUACUGUGAGCUCUUUGUCACCUCCAUAUAUGAGAAACAUAUCCUUAGUCCUUUUCAGGUAUUUCAGGAUGUUCUUGACCGCUGUCCAGUGAUCCACUCCUGGAUUACUUUGGUACCUCCCUGCUAAACUUAUAGCAAGGCACACAUCAGGUCUGGUACACAACAUUGCAUACAUGAUAGAUCCUAUCGCUGAUGCAUAGGGAACAUCUUUCAUAUUCUCUCUAUCUUCUGCAGUGGUCGGGCAUUGAGUCUUACUCAAUUUCACACCUUGUAACACAGGCAAGAAUCCUUUCUUUGCUUGAUCCAUUUUGAACUUCUUCAAAAUUUUGUCAAGGUAUGUUGUUUGUGAAAGUCCAAUUAAGCGUUUUGAUCUAUCUCUAUAGAUCUUAAUGCCUAAUAUGUAAGCAGCUUCACCGAGGUCUUUCAUUGAAAAACUCUUAUUCAAGUAUCCCUUUAUGCUAUCCAGAAAUUCUAUAUCAUUUCCAAUUAAUAAUAUGUCAUCCACAUAUAAUAUCAGAAAUGCUACAGAGCUCCCACUCACUUUCUUGUAAAUACAGGCUUCUCCAAAAGUCUGUAUAAAACCAAAUGCUUUGAUCACACUAUCAAAACGUUUAUUCCAACUCCGAGAGGCUUGCACCAGUCCAUAAAUGGAUCGCUGGAGCUUGCACACUUUGUUAGCUCCCUUUGGAUCGACAAAACCUUCUGGUUGCAUCAUAUACAAUUCUUCUUCUAGAAAUCCAUUCAGGAAUGCAGUUUUGACAUCCAUCUACCAAAUUUCAUAAUCAUAAAAUGUGGCAAUUGCUAACAUGAUUCGGACAGACUUAAGCAUCGCUACGGGUGAGAAGGUCUCAUCGUAGUCAAUCCCUUGAACUUGCCAAAACCCUUUUGCGACAAGUCAAGCUUUGUAGAUAGUAAUAUUACCGUUAGCGUCAGUCUUCUUCUUGAAGAUCCAUUUAUUCUCAAUUGCUUGCCGAUCAUCGGGCAAGUCAACCAAAGUCCAUACUUUGUUCUCAUACAUGGAUCCCAUCUCAGAUUUCAUGGCUUCAAGCCAUUUUGCGGAAUCUGGGCUCACCAUGGCUUCUUCAUAGUUCGUAGGUUCAUCAUGAUCUAGUAGCAUGACUUCCAGAAUAGGAUUACCGUACCACUCUGGCGCGGAUCUCACUCUGGUUGAUCUACGAGGUUCAGUAGUAUCUUGAUCUGAAGUUUCAUGAUCAUUAUCAUUAGCUUCCUCACUAACUGGUGUAGGUGUCACUGGAACAGUUUUCUGUGAUGUACUACUUUCCAGUAAGGGAGCAGGUACAGUUACCUCGUCAAGUUCUACUUUCCUCCCACUCACUUCUUUCGAGAGAAACUCCUUCUCUAGAAAGUUUCCGAAUUUAGCAACAAAAGUCUUGCCUUCAGAUCUGUGAUAGAAGGUGUAUCCAAUAGUUUCCUUUGGAUAUCCUAUGAAGACACAUUUCUCCGAUUUGGGUUCGAGCUUAUCAGGUUGAAGCUUUUUCACAUAAGCAUCAUAGCCCCAAACUUUCAGAAACGACAACUUUGGUUUCUUGCCAAACCACAGUUCAUAAGGCGUCGUCUCAACGGAUUUUGAUGGUGCCCUAUUUAACGUGAAUGCGGCCGUCUCUAGAGCGUAUCCCCAAAACGAUAGCGGUAAAUCAGUAAGAGACAUCAUAGAUCGCACCAUAUCUAGUAAAGUACAAUUACGACGUUCGGACACACCAUUACGCUGUGGUGUUCCGGGUGGCGUGAGUUGCGAAACUAUUCCACAAUUUUUCAAAUGCACACCAAACUCGUAACUCAAAUAUUCUCCUCCACUAUCAGAUCGUAGAAACUUUAUUUUCUUGUUACGAUGAUUUUCAACUUCACUCUGAAAUUCCUUGAACUUUUCAAAUGUUUCAGACUUAUGUUUCAUUAAGUAGAUAUACCCAUAUCUGCUUAAAUCAUUUGUGAAGGUGAGAAAAUAACGAUAUCCGCCACGAGCCUCAAUAUUCAUCGGACCACAUACAUCUGUAUAUAUGAUUUCCAACAAAUCUGUUGCUCUCUCCAUAGUACUGGAGAACGGCGUUUUUGUCAUCUUGCCCAUGAGGCACGGUUCGCAAGUACCAAGUGAUUCAUAAUCAAGUGGUUCCAAAAGUUCAUCAGAAUGGAGUUUCUUCAUGCGCUUUACACCGAUAUGACCUAAAUGGCAGUGCCACAAAUAAGUUGCACUCUCAUUAUCAACUCUGCAUCUUUUGGCUUCAACAUUAUGAAUAUGUGUGUUACUACUAUCGAGAUUUAACAAGAACAGACCACUCUUCAAGGGUGCAUGACCAUAAAAGAUAUUACUCAUAUAAAUAGAACAACCAUUAUUCUCUGAUUUAAAUGAAUAACCGUCUCGCAUCAAACAAGAUCCAGAUAUAAUGUUCAUGCUUAACGCUGACACCAAAUAACAAUUAUUUAGGUCUAAUACUAAUCCCGAAGGUAGAUGUAGAGGUAGCGUGCCGACUGCGAUCACAUCGACUUUGGAACCGUUUCCCACGCGCAUCGUCACCUCGUCCUUAACCAAUCUUCGCUUGAUCCGUAGCCCCUGUUUCGAGUUGCAAAUAUUAGCAACAGAACCAGUAUCAAAUACCCAGGUGCUAUUGCGAGCAUUAGUAAGGUACACAUCAAUAACAUGUAUAUCACAUAUACCUUUGUUCACCUUGCCAUCCUUCUUAUCCGCCAAAUACUUGGGGCAGUUCCGCUUCCAGUGACCAGUAUGCUUGCAAUAGAAGCACUCAGUUUCAGGCUUAGGUCCAGGUUUGGGUUUCUUCUCUUGAGUAGCAACUUGCUUGUCGUUCUUUUUGAAGUUCCCCUUCUUCUUCCCUUUGCCCUUUUUCUUGAAACUAGUGGUCUUGUUGACCAUCAACACUUGAUGCUCCUUCUUGAUUUCUACCUCCGCAGCUUUCAGCAUCGCGAAGAGCUCGGGAAUAGUCUUGUUCAUCCUUUGCAUAUUAUAGUUCAUCACGAAGCUCUUGUAGCUUGGUGGCAGUGAUUGAAGAAUUCUGUCAAUGACGCAAUCAUCUGGAAGAUUAACUCCCAAUUGAAUCAAGUGAUUAUUAUACCCAGACAUUUUGAGUAUAUGCUCACUGACAGAAAUGUUCUCCUCCAUCUUGCAGCUAUAGAACUUAUUGGAGACUUCAUAUCUCUCAAUCCGGGCAUUUGCUUGAAAUAUUAACUUCAACUCCUGGAACAUCUCAUAUGCUCCAUGACGUUCAAAACGUCGUUGAAGUCGCGAUUCUAAGCCGUAAAGCAUGGCGCACUGAACUAUCGAGUAGUCAUCAGCUUUGCUCUGCCAGACGUUCAUAACAUCCGGCGUUGCUCCUGCAGCAGGCCUGGCACCCAACGGUGCUUCCAGGACGUAAUUCUUCUGUGCAGCAAUGAGGAUAAUCCUCAAGUUACGGACCCAGUCCGUGUAAUUGCUACCAUCAUCUUUCAACUUUGCUUUCUCAAGGAACACAUUAAAAUUCAACGGAACAACAACAUGAGCCAUCUAUCUACAAUCAAACAUAAACAAGCAAGAUACUAAUCAGGUACUAAGUUUCAUGAUAAAUUUAAGUUCAGUUAAUCAAAUUAAUUAAAGAACUCCCACUUAGAUAGACAUCCCUCUAAUCCUCUAAGUGAUUACGUGAUCCAAAUCAACUAAACCAUAACCGAUCAUCACGUGAGAUGGAGUAGUUUUCAAUGGUGAACAUCGUUAUGUUGAUCAUAUCUACUAUAUGAUUCACGCUCGACCUUUCGGUCUCCGUGUUCUGAGGCCAUAUCUGUAUAUGCUUGGCUCGUCAAGUAUAACCUGAGUAUUCCGCGUGUGCAACUGUUUUGCACCCAUUGUAUUUGAACGUAGAACCUAUCACACCCGAUCAUCACGUGGUGUCUCAGCACGAAGAACUUUCGCAACGGUGCAUACUCAGGGAGAACACUUCUUGAUAAUUUAGUGAGAGAUCAUCUUAUAAUGCUACCGUCAAUCAAAGCAAGAUAAGAUGCAUAAAAGGAUAAACAUCACAUGCAAUCAAUAUAAGUGAUAUGAUAUGGCCAUCAUCAUCUUGUGCUUGUGAUCUCCAUCUCCGAAGCACCGUCGUGAUCACCAUCGUCACCGGCGUGACACCUUGAUCUCCAUCGUAGCAUCGUUGUCGUCUCGCCAAGCUUGUGCUUCUACGACUAUCACUACCGCUUAGUGAUAAAAGUAAAGCAUUACAUCGCGAUUCCAUUGCAUACAAUAAAACGACAACCAUAAGGCUCCUGCCAGUUGCCGAUAACUCGGUUACAAAACAUGAUCAUCUCAUACAAUAAAAUUCAGCAUCAUGUCUUGACCAUAUCACAUCACAACAUGCCCUGCAAAAACAAGUUAGAUGUCCUCUACUUUGUUGUUGCAAGUUUUACGUGGUUGCUACGGGCUUAAGUAAGAAACAAUCUUACCUACGCAUCAAAACCACAACGAUACUUUGUCAAUUUGACUCCGUUUUAACCUUCGCAAGGACCGGGCGUAGCCAUACUCGGUUCAACUAAAGUUGGAGAGACAGUCGCCCGCAAGCCACCUAUGUGCAAAGCACGUCAGGGGAACCGGUCUCGUGUAAGCGUACGCGUAAUGUUGGUCCGGGUCGUCUCGUCCAACAAUGCCGCCGAACCAAAGUAUGACAUGCUGGUAGGCAGUAUGACUUAUAUCGCCCACAACUCACUUGUGUUCUACUCGUGCAUAUAACAUCAACAUAAAUAACCUAGGCUCGGAUGCCACUGUUGGGUUUCGUAGUAAUUUCAAAAAAUUUCCUACGCACACGCAAGAUCAUGUGAUGCAUAGCAACGAGAGGGGAGAGUGUUGUCUACGUACCCACGCAGACCGACUGCGGAAGCGUUGACACAACAUAGAGGAAGUAGUCGUAUAUCUUCACGAUCCAACCGAUCAAGCACCGAAACUACGACACCUCCAAGUUUGAGCACACGUUCAGCUUGAUGAUGAUUCCCGGACUCCGAUCCAGCAAAGUGUCGGGGAAGAGUUCCGUCAGCACGACGGCGUGGUGACGAUCUUGAUGUACUACAGCAGCAGGGCUUCGCCUAAACUCCGCUACAGUAUUAUCGAGGACUAUGGUGGCUGGGGGCACCGCACACGGCUAAGGAAUAGAUCACAUGGAUCAACUUGUGUGUUUCUGGGGCGCCCCUGCCUCCGUAUAUAAAGGACUAGAGGGGGGAGGCUGGCCGGCCAUGGGUGGCGCGCCAGGAGAGUCCUACUCCCUCUGGGAGUAGGAUUCCCCCCCCCAAUCCUAGUUGGAAUAGGACUCCUUGAGGGGGGAAAGAGAGAGAGGGGGUCGGCCACCUCUCCUAGUCCUAAUAGGACUAGGGGAGGGGGGAGGCGCGCGGCCACCUUUGGGCUACUCCUUUCUCCUUUCCACUAAAGCCCACUAAUGCCCAUAUAGCUCCCGGGGGGGGGGGGGUCCGGUAACCUCCCGGUACUCCGGUAAAAUCCCGAUUUCACCCGGAACACUUCCGAUAUCCAAACAUAGGCUUCCAAUAUAUCAAUCUUUAUGUCUCGACCAUUUUGAGACUCCUCGUCAUGUCCGUGAUCACAUCCGGGACUCUGAACAACCUUAGGUAUAUCAAAAUGCAUAAACUCAUAAUAUAACUGUCAUCGNNNNNNNNNNNNNNNNNNNNNNNNNNNNNNNNNNNNNNNNNNNAACCUUCGGUAUAUCAAAAUGCAUAAACUCAUAAUAUAACUGUCAUCGUAACCUUAAGCGUGCGGACCCUACGGGUUCGAGAACAAUGUAGACAUGACCGAGACACGUCUCCGGUCAAUAACCAAUAGCGGGACCUGGAUGCCCAUAUUGGCUCCUACAUAUUCUACGAAGAUCUUUAUCGGUCAGACCGCAUAACAACAUACGUUGUUCCCUUUGUCAUCGGUAUGUUACUUGCCCGAGAUUCGAUCGUCGGUAUUCCAAUACCUAGUUCAAUCUCGUUACCGGCAAGUCUCUUUACUCGUUCUGUGAUACAUCAUCCCGCAACUAACUCAUUUAGUUGUAAUGCUUGCAAGGCUUAAGUGAUGUGCAUUACCGAGAGGGCCCAGAGACACCUCUCCGACAAUCGGAGUGACAAAACCUAAUCUCGAAAUACGCCAACCCAACAUGUACCUUUGGAGACACCUGUAGUACUCCUUUAUAAUCACCCAGUUACGUUGUGACGUUUGGUAGUACCCAAAGUGUUCCUCCAGUAAACGGGAGUUGCAUAAUCUCAUAGUUAUAGGAACAUGUAUAAGUCAUGAAUAAAGCAAUAGCAACAUACUAAAUGAUCGAGUGCUAAGCUAAUGGAAUGGGUCAUGUCAAUCAGAUCAUUCUCUUAAUGAUGUGAUCCCGUUAAUCAAAUAACAACUCAUUGUUCAUGGUCAGGAAACAUAACCAUCUUUGAUUAACGAGCUAGUCAAGUAGAGGCAUACUAGUGACACUUUGUUUGUCUAUGUAUUCACACAUGUAUUAUGUUUCCGGUUAAUACAAUUCUAGCAUGAAUAAUAAACAUUUAUCAUGAUUAUAAGGAAAUAAAUAAUAACUUUAUUAUUGCCUCUAGGGCAUAUUUCCUUCAGUUUAACCUCCAAAAACCCUAACCCCCUCCCCACUCGCUCCGACUCCCCCACGCCGUCACUUCCCCCCUCCCAAUCCGAUCUGGAUCGGGAUCGAUCCCCGUUGCUAGACGCCCGACGUCGCCCUGCCUCUAACGCCGCUGGACCUCGUGGCCACCUCGCGGGACCUCCCUCGCCGGAUCGCUCCACCUCGACCACGCCUCCCCGUCAGACUUCCUCCCCAUCGUCGACGCCUCGCUGUCCUCCUCCUCGACACCACGCCGCAGCCGCUCGCCUCCCCAUCGCCCGGUCGUCCCCGUCGUCCUCCCCACGCCCCGCUGCCCGUGCCCUACGAAACCCCCCGCGAGGCCCCCUCCUUCCUCCUUUCCCUGCGGUCACCACCGCUCGCUCGCCCCGCACCGCUGCUGCAUCGUCGGUGCUGCUCUGCUGCGGCCAUCGCACUCAGCCCCGUCCACCCGCAGCGCACACCUGCCCGCACACACGCCCGCUCGGCCCCGCCUCCCCCGCCGGCGCUCGCCGCAGCCCCGUGCACGCUCUUGCUCCGGCCCUUCCUGCUGCCGUAGUCCGCUGCGGCCUCGUCGCCCCUCGCCGCUCGCCGUCGCCCGCAGCUACGACCGCGCCCGCUACGGCUACUCGCCGCUCGUCCGCGCGUGCGCCCCGCCUCAUCAGCGCUGUUGUGGCCUCGCCGGCCCGCGCCACCGCAUCCCCUGCUCUGCCCGUGGUGCUUGCUGCCUCCUAGUGCGCGCAUGCCAACGCCCGACUCCGCUCGCCCUCCCCCCGCCACCACCUCCACCAUUGCUGCCCAGCACCGCCGCCGCCCUGUGCCGGCGCUGCCCUGCUGUAGCUCUCUGCGGUGGCCGCCAGCGCCCCGUUGCCCCUGCUAGUCCCGCCCCGCGGCAGACCUGGGCGAGUGCCCUAGUGGGCUGGCGCCCAUCGCCCAUCUCCGCCCGAACCCGCGCGCCCGCUAAGGCCCCCAGGCCUAUGACAGUCGGGGCCCAGCCCGAGAACGUUUUUUAAAAAAGAGAAAAUUUUAAAAAAUAAUUUUAAAAAUAAAUAAAUAAAAUUGUUAAUUAAUUAAUUAAUUGUGUUUAAUUAACCUAAUAACUAAUCAACCUAAUUAACUAAUGUUAAUUAACUAAACAGCCUAUGACAGUAGGGACCCACUUGUCAAUUUGACCAGUCAACGGUCAAUACCGACUGGGUUGUUGACUUUGACUGGCCCCACCAGCCAGUCUCUACUGACUGGGCAGUUGACCAAGUCAACUGGGCCUACUGGUCAGCCACACAAGCCCUUCUGUGGGUACACAUCUGUGUACCCAUAGCAAUUUAACAUUUAAUUUCCGAAUUAAAACAAUUUAGAAAAUGAUUUAAAACUUUAAAAAAUCAUAUAAAAUAAUCUGCAACUCGGAUGGAAAUACUUUGUACAUGAAAGUUGCUGAGAAUGACGAGACAAAUCCCGAAUACGCAGCCCGUUCAUUUGCCACACAUCCCUAGCAUAGCGAACACGCAACUUUCCGCCUUCGGUUCAUCCGUCCGAAAACGCGAAACACCGGGGAUACUUUCCGGAUGUCCCCCCUCGUCGGUAUCACCUCCUACCGCGUUAGGGCACACCUAGCACCAUUACUUGCCAUGUCAUGCAUUGAUACGUCCAUUUUGCAUCAUGCUUUUAUAUCGAUAUUUAUUGCAUUAUGGGCUGUUAUUACAUAUUAUGUCACAAUACUUAUGCCUAUUCUCUCUUAUUUUAUAAGGUUUACAUAAAGAGGGAGAAUGCCGGCAGCUGGGAUUCUGGGCUGGAAAAGGAGCAAAUAUUAGAGACAUAUUCUGCACAGCUCCAAAAGUCCUGAAACUUCACGGAAGACGUUUUCAGAAUAUAUAAAAAAUACUCAGCGGAAGAAGUUCACCAGGGGGGCCACACCCUGCCCACGAGGGUGGGGGCGCGCCCUACCCCCCUGGGCACGCCCCCUACCUCGUGGGCCCCCUGGUGGCUCUCCGGUGGCCAUCUUCUUCUAUAUGAAGUCUUUCGAUGGGAAAAAAUAAAAAGCCAUCUUCUCGCACGAAACUCCACCGCCACGAGGCGGAACCUUAGCGGAACCAAUCUAGGGCUCUGCGGAGCUGUUCUGCCGGGGAAACUUCCCUCCCAGAGGGGGAAAUCAUCGCCAUCGUCGUCACCAACGCUCCUCUCAUCGGGAGAGGGAAAUCUCCAUCAACAUCUUCAUCAGCACCAUCUCCUUUCAAAACCCUAUUUCAUCUCUUGUAUCCAAUUCUUGUCUCCAAGUCCGGGAUUGGUGCUAGUAGGUUGCUAGUAGUGUUAACUACUCCUUGUAGUUGAUGCUAGUUGGUUUAUUUGGUGGAAGAUCAUAUGUUCAGAUCCUAUAUGCAUAUUAAUAGCCCUCUGAUUAUGAACAUGUUUAUGCUUUGUGAGUAGUUAUGUUUGUUCGUGAGGACAUGGGAGAAGUCUUGCUAUUAGUAGUCAUGUUAAUUUGGUAUUCGUUCGAUAUUUUGAUGAGAUGUAUGUUGUCUCUCCUCUAGUGGUGUUAUGUGAACGUCGACUACAUGACACUUCACCAUUAUUUGGGCCUAGAGGGAGGCAUUGGGAAGUAAUAAGUAGAUGAUGGGUUGCUAGAGUGACAGAAGCUUAAACCCUAGUUUACGCGUUGCUUCGUAAGGGGCUGAUUGGAUCCGUAUGUUUCAUGCUAUGGUUAGGUUUACCUUAAUACUUUUGUUGUAGUUGCGGAUGCUUGCAAUAGAGGUUAAUCAUAAGUGGGAUGCUUGUCCAAGUAAGGACAGUACCCAAGCACCGGUCCACCCACAUAUCAGAUUAUCAAAGUACCGAACGCGAAUCUUAUGAACGUGAUGAAAACUAGCUUGACGAUAUUCCCAUGUGUCCUCGGGAGCGCUUUUCUCUAUAUAAGAGUUUGUCCAGGCUUGUCCUUUGCUACAAAAAGGAUUGGGCCACCUUGCUGCACUUUAUUUACUUUUGUUACUUGUUGCUCGUUACAAAUUAUCCUAUCACAAAACUAUCUGUUACGACUUAUUUCAGUACUUGCAGAGAAUACCUUGCUGGAAACCGCUUAUCAUUUCCUUCUGCUCCUCGUUGGGUUUGACACUCUUACUUAUCGAAAGGACUACGAUAGAUACCCUAUACUUGUGGCUCAUCAAGACUCUUUUCUGGUGCCGUUGCCGGGGAGUGAAGCGCCUUUGGUAGGUGGAAUUUGGUAAGGAAAAAUUUAUAUAGUGUGCUGAAAUUUACUGUCACUUGUUACUAUGGAAAGUAAUCCUCUGAGGGGCUUGUUCGGGGUGUCUUCACCCCGACCAGUAGAGCAAAGAGUUGCUCCUCAACAUACUGAACCUACUGAAAAUGAAAAUGUUUGCUUUGAAAUUCCUUCGGGUAUGAUAGAAAAACUGCUAGCUAAUCCCUUUUUAGGAGAUGGAACAAAACAUCCUGAUGAGCAUCUAAUAUAUGUGGAUGAAGUUUGUGGAUUAUUUAAGCUUGCAGGUGUACCCGGAGAUGUUGUUAAGAAGAAGGUCUUCCCUUUAUCUUUGAAGGGAGAUGUAUCGACAUGGUAUAGGCUAUGUGAUGGUAUGGGGUCUUGGAAUUACAAAUGAUUGAAAUUGGAAUUUCAUCAGAAGUUUUAUCCUAUGCAUCUUGUUCAUCGUGAUCACAAUUAUAUAUAUAAUUUUUGGCCUCACGAAGGAGAAAGCAUCGCUCAAGCUUGGGGGAGGCUUAAAUCAAUGUUAUAUUCAUGCCCCAAUCAUGAGCUCUCAAGAGAAAUGAUUAUUCAAAAUUUUUAUGCUCAGCUUUCUGAUAGCAAUCGCACCAUGCUUGAUACUUCUUGUGCUGGCUCUUUUAUGAUGAAGACUAUUGAAUUCAAAUGGGAUUUAUUGGAAAGAAUUAAACGCAACUCUGAAGAUUGGGACCUCGACAAAGGUAAGGAGUCAGGUAUGACACCUAGGUUUGAUUGUGUUAAAUCUUUUAUGGAUACCGAUGUUUUUCGUAAAUUUAGCACUAAAUAUGGACUUGACUCUGAGAUAGUAGCUUCUUUCUGUGAAUCUUUUGCUACUUAUGUUGAUCUCCCCAAGGAGAAGUGGUUUAAAUAUCAUCCUCCCAUAGAAGCAAAAGUAGCUGCACCUAUUAAAGUUGAAGAAAAGAUUGUCACUUAUAAUGAUCCUAUUGUUCCUACUUCUUAUGUUGAGAAACCACCUUUCCCUGUUAGGAUAAAGGAUCAUGCUAAAGCUUCAACUGUGGUUCGUAAAAGCAAUAUUAAAACCUAUACACCUCCUGAGCAAGUUAAAGUUGAACCUAAUAUUGCUAUUGUUAAAGAUCUCUUGUCUGAUAAUAUUGAUGGGCAUGUUAUUUAUUUCUGUGAUGAAACUGCUAGAAUUGCUAAACCUUGUGCUAAAGAUAAAAACAGACCGGUGGUAGGUGCUACCUCUUGAGCAAUGCGUUGGUUUUCCCCGAAGAGGAAGGGAUGAUGCAGCAAAGUAGCAUAAGUAUUUCCCUCAGUUUUUGAGAACGAAGGUAUCGAUCCAGUAGGAGGCUACGCGCGAGUCCCUUGUACCUGCACAAAACAAAUAAAUCCUCGCAACCAACGCGAAUAGGGGUUGUUAAUCCCUACACGGCCACUUAUGAGAGUGAGAUCUGAUAGAUAUGAUAAAGAUAAUAUUUUUGGUAUUUUUGUGAUAAAGAUGCGAAGUAAAAUAAAGGCAAAGUGGAAAGCAAAGGAAAUAACUAAGUAGUAGGAGAUUAAUAUGAUAAAGAUAGACCCCGGGGCCAUAGGUUUCACUAGUGGCUUCUCUCAAGUAGCAUAAGUAUUCUACGGUGGGUGAACAAAUUACUGUUGAGCAAUUGACAGAAUUGAGCAUAGUUAUGAGAAUAUCUAGGUAUGAUCAUGUAUAUAGGAAUCACGUCCGAGACAAGUAGACCGACUCCUGCAUGCAUCUACUACUAUUACUCCACUCAUCGACCGCUAUCCAACAUGCAUCUAGAGUAUUAAGUUAAAAAUAGAGUAACGCCUUAAGCAAGAUGACAUGAUGUAGAGGGAUAGACUCAUGCAAUAUGAUGAAAACCCCAUCUUGUUAUCCUCGAUGGCAACAAUACAAUACGUGCCUUGCUGCCACUACUGUCAUUGGGAAAGGACACCGCAAGAUUGAACCCAAAGCUAAGCACUUCUCCCAUUGCAAGAAAGAUCAAUCUAGUAGGCCAAACCAAACUGAUAAUUCGAAGAGACUUGCAAAGAUAACCAAUCAUACAUAAAAGAAUUCAGAGAAGAUUCAAAUAUUAUUCAUAUAUAUACUUGAUCAUAAACCCACAAUUCAUCGGUCUCAACAAACACACCGCAAAAAGAAUAUUACAUCAAAUAGUUCUCCACAAGAGAGGGGGAGAACAUUGUAUUGAGAUCCAAAAAGAGAGAAGAAGCCAUCUAGCUAAUAACUAUGGACCCGUAGGUCUGAGGUGAACUACUCACACUUCAUCGGAGAGGCUAUGGUGUUGAUGUAGAAGCCCUCCAUGAUCGAUGCCCCCUCCGGCGGAGCUCCGGAACAGGCCCCAAGAUGGGAUCUCGUGGAUACAGAAAGUUGCGGCGGCAGAAUUAGGUUUUUGGCUCCGUAUCUGAUCGUUUGGGGGUACGUAGGUAUAUAUAGGAGGAAGGAGUACGUCGGUGGAGCAACAGGGGGCCNNNNNNNNNNNNNNNNNNNNNNNNNNNNNNNNNNNNNNNNNNNNNNNNNNNNNNNNNNNNNNNNNNNNNNNNNNNNNNNNNNNNNNNNNNNNNNNNNNNNNNNNNNNNNNNNNNNNNNNNNNNNNNNNNNNNNNNNNNNNNNNNNNNNNNNNNNNNNNNNNNNNNNNNNNNNNNNNNNNNNNNNNNNNNNNNNNNNNNNNNNNNNNNNNNNNNNNNNNNNNNNNNNNNNNNNNNCCUGGGUCUUGUUCGUUGGGAAAAUCACGUUCCCGAAGGUUUCAUUCCGUUUGGACUCCGUUUGAUAUUCCUUUUCUUGGAAACCCUAAAAUAGGCAAAAAACAGCAAUUCUGUGCUGGGCCUCCGGUUAAUAGGUUAGUCCCAAAAAUAAUAUAAAAGUGGAUAAGAAAGCCCAAUAAUGUCCAAAACAGUAGAUAAUAUAGCAUGGAGCAAUCAAAAAUUAUAGAUACGUUGGAGACGUAUCAUGCAUCCCCAACCUUAAUUCCUGCUCGUGGAGUGCUACUUGGCAUAAUUUUAAUGUAAUUCUUCUUAAUUGUGGUAUGAAUAUUCAGAUCCGAAAGAUUCAAGACAAAAGUUCAUAUUGACAUAAAAAUAAUAAUACUUCAAGCAUACUAACUAAGCAAUUAUGUCUUCUCAAAACAACAUGGCCAAAGAAAGUUCAUCCCUACAAAAUCAUAUAGUUUAGUCAUGCUCCAUUUUCGUCACACAAGAAUGCUCUCAUCAUGCACAACCCCGAUGACAAGCCAAGCAAUUGUUUCAUACUUUAGUAAUCUCAAAGUCUAUAAACUUUCACGCAAUAUAUGAGCGCGAGCCAUGGACAUAGGGCUAUGGGUGGAAUAGAAUAUAAUGAGGGGGGUUAUGUGGAGAAGACAAAAAGGAGAAAGUCUCACAUCAACGAGGCUAAUCAAUGGGCUAUGGAGAUGCCCACCGAUUGAUGUUGAUGCAAGGAGUAGGGAUUGCCAUGCAGCGGAUGCACUAGAGCUAUAAAUGUAUGAAAGCUCAACAAAAGAAACUAAGUGGGUGUGCAUCCAACUUGCUUGCUCACGAAGACCUAGGGAACUUGAGGAGGCCCAUUGUUGGAUUAUACAAGCCAAGUUCUAUAAUGAAAAAUUCCCACUAGUAUAUGAAAGUGACAAAACAAGAGACUCUCUAUCAUGAAGAUUACGGUGCUACUUUGAAGCACAAGUGUGGAAAAAAAGGAUAGUAGCAUUGCCCCUUUUACAUAUAUAUAUUUAUUUGGCCUUCCUUUUUUUCCUUUUUUAUUUGGCCCUUCCUUUUUUGGGGACAAUGCUCUAUUAAUGAUGAUCAUCACACUUCUAUUUAUUUAUAACUCAGUAAUUAAAACACGACACUAGAACAAAGUAUGACUCUAUAUGAAUGCCUCCGGCGGUGUACCCGGAUAUGCAAUGGACCAAGAGUGACAUGUAUGAAAGAAUCAUGAACGGUUUCCUUGCCAUAAAUACUAUGUCAACUACAUGAUUAUGCUAAGCAAUAUGACAAUGAUGAAUGUGUCAUGAUGAACGGAAUGGUGGAGAGUUGCAUGGCAAUAUAUCUCGGAAUGGCUAUGGAAAUGCCAUAAUAGGUAGGUAUGGUGGCUGUUUUGAGGAAGAUAUAAGGAGGUUUAUGUGUGAAAGAGCGUAUCAUAUCACGAGGUUUGGAUGCAUCGGCGGAGUUUGCGCCAACUCUCAAUGUGAGAAAGGGCAAUGCACGGUACCGAAAAGGCUAGCAAGGAUGGAAGGGUGAGAGUGCGUAUAAUCCAUGGACUCAACAUUAGUCAUAAAGAACUCACAUACUUAUUGCAAAAAUCUACAAGUCAUCAAAAAUCUCGGUACUACGCGCAUGCUCCUAGGGGGAUAGAUUGGUAGGAAAAGACCAUCGCUCAUCCCCGACCACCACUCAUAACAAAGACAAUCAAAUAACACCUCAUGUUUCAAAUUUGUUACACAACGUUUACCAUACGUGCAUGCUAUGGGACUUGCAAACUUCAACACAAGUACUCCCUCCAGUCCUUUUUACUCUGCAUAUUAGAAUUCUCUGAAGUCAAAGUUCACAAAGUUUGACCGUAUUUAUAUGAAAAAAUAUCAACAUCUGCCAUGCUAAAGUUAUAUAAUAUGAAACUUUAAGUCAUGACACAUCUAGUGUUAUUGAUUUCAGAUUGUGAAUGUUGACACUUUUUUCUACAAAGCUGGUCAAACUUUACGAGGCUUGACUUCAGUCAAAUCUUAUAUGCGAACUAAAAAGGACCGGAGGGAGUAUUUAUCAAUUUCACAACUACUCAACUAGCACGACUUUGAUAUUAUUAUCUCCAUAUCUCAAAACAAUCAUCAAGCAUCAAACUUCUCUUAGUAUUCAAAACACUCUUAAGAAAAUUAUACUAACUUUGAAUACCUAGCAUAUUAGGAUUUUAAGAAAAUUACCAUGCUAUUAAGACUCUCAAAAUAAUCUAAGUGAAGCAUGAGAGAUCAAUUGUUUCUAUAAAACAAAUCCACCACCGUGCUCUAAAAGAUAUAAGUGAAGCACUAGAGCAAAACUAUAUAGCUCAAAAGAUAGAAGCGAAGCACAUAGAGUAUUCUAGCAAAUUCCAAAUCAUGUAUGGCUCUCUCAAAAUGUGUGUACAGAAAGUAUGAUUGUGGUAAACUAACAAAUAAAGACUCAAAUCAUACAAGACGCUCCAAGCAAAACACAUAUCAUGUGGCGAAUAAAAAUAUAGCUCCAAGUAAAGUUACCGAUAGAAGUAGACGAAAGAGGGGAUGCCUUUCGGGGCAUCCCCAAGCUUUGGCUUUUAGGUGUCCUUAGAUUAUCUUGGGGGUGCCAUGGGCAUCCCCAAGCUUAGGCUCUUGCCACUCCUUGUUCCAUAAUCCAUCAAAUCUUUACCCAAAACUUGAAAACUUCACAACACAAAACUUAAAGUAGAAAAUCUCGUGAGCUCCGUUAGCGAAAGAAAAUAAAAGACCACUUCAAGGUACUGUAAUGAACUCAUUCUUUAUUUAUAUUGGUGUUAUACCUACUGUAUUCCAACUCCUCUAUGGUUUAUAAACUAUUUUACUAGCCAAGAUUCAUCAAAAUAAGCAAACAACACACGAAAAACAGAAUCUGUCAAAAACAGAACAGUCUGUAGUAAUCUGUAGCUAGCGCAAGAUCUGGAACCCCAAAAAUUCUAAAAUAAGUUGCUGGACGUGAGUAAUUUAUCUAUUAAUCAUCUUCAAAAAUAAUUAACUAAAUAGCACUUUCCAAAUAAAAAUGGCAGUAGUUCUCGUGAGCGCUAAAGUUUCUGUUUUUUACAGCAAGUGUAACAAGACUUUCCCCAAGUCUUCCCGACGGUUCUACUUGGCACAAACACUAAUUAAACACAAAAAACACAACCUAAACAGAGGCUAGAUAAAUUAUUUAUUACUAAACAGGAGCAAAAAACAAGGAAUAAAAAUAAAAUUGGGUUCCCUCCCAACAAGCGCUAUCGUUUAACGCCCCUAGCUAGGCAUAACAAGCAAGGAUAGAUCUAGGUAUUGCCAUCUUUGGUAGGCAAUCCAUAAGUGGCUCUCAUAAUCGAUUCAUAAGGUAAUUUAAUUUUAUUUCUAGGAAAGUGUUCCAUGCCUUUCCUUAAUGGAUUUUGGAAUCUAAUAUUUCCUUCCUUCAUAUCAAUAAUUGCACCAAUCGUUCUAAGGAAAGGUCUACCAAGAACAAUAGGACAUGAAGGAUUGCAAUCUAUGUCGAGAACAAUAAAAUCUACGGGAACAUAAUUCCUAUUUGCACCAAUAAGAACAUCAUUAAUUCUUCCCAUAGGUUUCUUAAUAGUUGAAUCCGCAAGGUGCAAGUUUAAAGAGCAAUCAUCAAAAUCACGGAAACCUAACAAAUCACACAAAGUCUUUGGAAUCGUGGAAACACUAGCACCCAAAUCACAUAAAGCAUAGCAUUCAUGAUCUUUAAUUUUAAUUUUAAUAGUUGGUUCUCACUCAUCAUAAAGCUUUCUAGGGAUAGAAACAUCCAAUUCAAGUUUUUCUUCAUAAGAUUGCAUCAAGGCAUCAAUGAUAUGCUCAGUAAACGCUUUAUUUUGACUAUAAGCAUGAGGAGAAUUUAGCAUGGAUUGAAACAAGGAAAUACAAUCAAUCAAAGAGCAAUUUUCAUAGUUAAAUUCCUUGAAAUCCAUAAUAGUGGGUUUAGCAACAUCUAGGGUUUUAAUUUCUUCAAUCCCACUUUUAUCAAUUUUAGCAUCAAGAUCAACAAAUUCCGAAUUCUUGGAACGCCUUCUAGGUAAAGGUGGAUCAUAUUCAGUCCCAUCAUUAUCAAGAUUCAUAUUGCAAAACAAAUAUUUAAUAGGGGACACAUCAAUAACUUUUAGAUCUUCAUCAUUAUUUUCAUAGGAACUAGAAGAACACGCUCUUAUAAAGGCAUCUUUCUUAGCAUGCAUCCUAGCGGUUCUUUCUUUGCACUCAUGAAUGGAAAUUCUCAUGGCUUUGAGAGACUCAUCGACAUCAUGCUUAGGUGGAAUAGAUCUAAGUUUCAAAGAAUCAACAUCAAGAGUAAUUCUAUCAACGUUCCUAGCCAAAUCAUCAAUCUUAAGCAAUUUUUCUUCAAUCAAAGCAUUGAAAUUCUUUUGCGAAGUAAUAAAUUCUUUAAUAUUAGAUUCAAAAUCAGAGGGCAUCUUAUUAUAAUUUCCAUAAGAAUUGUUGUAGGAAUUACCAUAAUUAUUAGAGGGAUUACUAGGAUAAGGCCUAGGGUUGAUAUUUCCUCUAUACGCGUUGUUACCAAAAUUGUUCCUACCAACAAAAUUCACAUCCAUAGAUUCAUUAUUAUUCUCAAUCAAAGUAGACAAGGGCAUACCAGGAUCAGAAGAAACACUCUUAUUAGCAAAUAAUUUCAUAAGUUCAUCCAUCUUUCCACUCAAAACAUUAAUUUCUUCUAUCGCAUGCACCUUUUUAUUAGUAGAUCUUUCAGUAUGCCAUUGAGAAUAAUUAACCAUAAUAUUAUCUAGGAGUUUAGUAGCUUCUCCUAAAGUGAUUUCCGUAAAAGUGCCUCCCGCGGCCAAAUCUAAAAGAUUUCUAGAAGCAAAAUUCAAUCGGACAUAAAUUUUUUGUAUAAUCAUCCACAAAUUUAAACCAUGAGUAGGGCAAUUACGUAUCAUUAGUUUCAUUCUCUCCCAAGCUUGUGCAACAUGUUCAUGAUCAAGUUGCUUAAAAUUCAUAAUAUCGUUUCUAAGAGAGAUGACCUUAGCGGGAGGAAAAAUACUUAGAGAUAAAAGCAUCUUUGCACUUAUUCCAAGAAUCAGUACUAUUUUUAGGUAAAGACGAAAACCAAGCUUUAGCACGAUCUCUAAGCGAAAAAGGAAAUAGCUUCACUUUAACAAUGUCAUUAUCCACAUAUUUCUUCUUUUGCAUGUCACACAAAUCAACGAAGCUAUUUAGGUGGGUAGCGGCAUCUUCACUAGGAAGGCCGGAAAAUGGAUCUUUCAUGACAAGAUUCAGCAAAGCAGUAUUAAUUUCAGAAGAUUCAGCAUCGGUAAGAGGAGCAAUCGGAGUGCUAAUAAAAUCAUUGUUGUUGGUAUUGGUGAAGUCACAUAAUUUAGUAUUAUCUUGAGCCAUCGUAACAAGCAAGCAACUAACACACAAGCAAACAAAAAGCAAGCGGGCAAAAAGAGGCAAAUAGAGAAAGAGAUGGAGGGUAGAGAGAGAGGGGGCGAAUAAAACGACAAGGGUGAAGUGGGGGAGAGGAAAACGAGAGGCAAAUGGCAAAUAAUGUAAUGCAGGAGAUAAGUGUAUGUGAUGGGUACUUGGUAUGUUGACUUUUGCGUAGACCUCCCCGGCAACGGCGCGAGAAAUCCUUCUUGCUACCUCUUGAGCACUGCGUUGGUUUUCCCCGAAGAGGAAGGGAUGAUGCAGCAAAGUAGCGUAAGUAUUUCCCUCAGUUUUGAGAACCAAGGUAUCAAUCCAGUAGGAGGCUACGCGCGAGUCCCUUGUACCUGCACAAAACAAAUAAAUCCUCGCAACCAACGCGAAUAGGGGUUGUCAAUCCCUACACAACCACUUACGAGAGUGAGAUCUGAUAGAUAUGAUAAAGAUAAUAUUUUUGGUAUUUUUGUGAUAAUGAUGCAAAGUAAAAUAAAGGCAAAGUAGAAAGCAAAGGAAAUAACUAAGUAGUAGGAGAUUAAUAUGAUAAAGAUAGACCCGGGGGCCAUAGGUUUCACUAGUGGCUUCUCUCGAGAGCAUAAGUAUUCUACGGUGGGUGAACAAAUUACUGUUGAGCAAUUGACAGAAUUGAGCAUAGUUAUGAGAAUAUCUAGGUAUGAUCAUGUAUAUAGGCAUCACGUCCGAGACAAGUAGACCGACUCCUGCCUGCGUCUACUACUAUUACUCCACUCAUCGACCGCUAUCCAGCAUGCAUCUACACUACAAAAAGAUACACUUCCGUGAUGAUACGUGUUUGUCAUAGUAGGUCGCAUUUUCUGUCAUGCAUGUACAUCCAUGACGAGUUUAUGACAGAAUCAAGAUAGUCAUACCUAUGCUGUCGUAGAAGUGUUCCAUGACAUUACCAAAAUUAUCAUCACGGAAGUGUCCACUUCCAUGACGAUAAAUCCUGCGUCACAGAAGUGCUUUCGUCAAGGAUGACCGACAUGUGGCAUCCACCAUAACGGAACGCCGUUAAGCUAUCGGGUCGGGUUUUGGAUCCGAUAACCCGUUAACAGUCCCGACCAAUGGUGAUUUUCCACAUGUAAAAUCAGCAUUGGCUGGAGGAAACACGUGUCGGCUCAUCGUUGGGACAGAUGUCAUCCACUCAUUGGACAGAAGGCGCCGAUGAUACGUCGACACGUGGCACGGCCCAACAGAGGCCCAUUCCUGUGAAAAGGCCGGCCCAUUUGACUUGGUCAAAAGGUGGCGGGCCGGCCCAUGUAAAGCCUGUUAACGGCCUGUUCGCAUAUAGCCCAUUUACAGCCCACUAACCCAAGGCCCGUUACGCCCUAUCCGAAUUAGGCCCAGUAGUGUCAUCUGGGCCACCCAAUAUGAUUCCAGCCCGUUUUCACUUAUGGCCCAUGUAUGGCCCAUGACGUCUUUCGGCCCAUACGAGGCCCUAUGUAACUCUUGGCCUAUUAACGGCCCGUGGUGAAACUAGCCCGUAAUGAACAGUGUAUCACUUUACACCCAUUAACGGCCCGUGGUGAAACUGGCCCGUAAUGAACAGUGUAUCACUUUAUACCCAUUAACGCCCCGUUAUUCCGUUGGGCCGUUUCCAGCCCAUGCUAUCUUUCGGCCUUCUCAGAGCCCAUUUAUUCUUGGGCUCAUUUCCAGCAUUCUUUUACUUACGGCCCGUUACUGUCAUUUUCUGCUUGUGGGCCAAAUUCAGCCCGUGGUUACAAUUGGCCCGUUUGUGAUCCGUUAAUAUGUUGGGCCGUUUUCAUAGCGUCAUCAAAUACGGCCUAUUAAAGAUGGCCCGCUAUGGUCGGCCCAUGAACGGAUGAUUCCAACUCUAGCCCGUUUACGGCCAUAAUGCGGCCUGUUAUUGGCCCAUGUUUGGCCAAUCUAUCAUACUGCCCGUAUAAGGCCCAUUGAUGAUACGGCCCAUAGAAGGCCCAUUGUUUCUACGGCCCGUAGAAGGCCCACUGUUUCUAUGGCCCGUAGAGGCCCAGUGUCACUACAGUAAAUAUUAGCCCAUGGUUAUUGUGGCCUAGUUUUAAAAAAUAGGUUAUUGCAGCCACUAGCAAACCACGGAAAAAGAACUGCAAUGACUACAAACAAACAAAUAAACAAGACAACAAGGAAAUAAAUAAGAAAGCAACUUACGCUAGGCUAUCACGGCUAUCACACAUAUUACAUCCACUGGGCAUCAAAGUUCGCCACCAGUGCAAAUAAACGCGCCGACAAAAGAAUAUACAAAACUGAGAGCACUUCAGAAGGCACUAGGCCUGGCCAGGUCAGGCCCCCCAAACAACUGAAGAAGCUGAGUAGACCUCAGUUGUGUCAACGAUAGAUGCAUCAACACUAGAUUUAAGGCAUGAUGGUGCGCAUGGCAGUCCUCUGACAUCUUCAUUGCAUCUUUGACUUCAAGUUGGAGCUGAGCUAAAGCAAGCCUUUCCGCUUUAAGUUGAUACUGAAUAAGUCGGACUGAUUGAGGCAGCGACUGCACAGAGGUUGUCUCACACCUGCUGGUGAGUAGCUUCAACUCACUGUCUUCAUCAAGACAGGACCUUGGGGUAAUCUCGCUGUCCUCAAGAUGGUUUGGCUCACUAUCUUCCCUAAAGUUCUGCCUGGCGUAAGAGAUACGAGUCUGAAAGAGAAACGAGGAGACACGUAACAGGUUUCACAAUUAUAUAAGCAAAUAAAUGGAUCUAUUCUGCAUAAGGAACAUGUUUUUACAACUACAAUUUGAAACUGGUAGGUGUUGCAAACAUCCAAUCAGAUGUAAACAGCAAAGCAAACAAUAGUGGAGGAAAUGAUGCCUAUCCAAAUCUAUAGUAGAACAAAGUUUGAAGGCUUGAGAAGGAUGAACUUACAUUACAUGUUAACACGGGCUGGACAAAGCCCUUCUCCAUGUUGAUGGAAGGAUAAUUCAAUAAAUUCCCCAAAGAAAAUUCUUUAUAAGUGUUGCCAUUAUUCUACAUUUUGCAAAGAGUAAAUAUAGAUCAAAUAAUAUUGUAAGAAACAGAGGAUAAUGAAGCUCAGUGCAGACUGAUGAUACAUAAGCAAAUAGCAAAUAAUUAAGUACAACAUUACAAGGCAAAAGGGAGAGAGGUACUGACAAAAGCAAUGCAGAGCCCAUUAUUGUUUUGAGAUCGUAUGAUCCUUUGAGCAAGGAGAUUCAUCUGAAAUUAGUUUUCAUACAAGAGAGAAGGUAAGGCACAAGCAGAAAUUUAGGAGUUUAAAUUUUGAAUUGAUAUCAUAGACAGUACCUGACGCUGGGCUCCCAACAGUUCUAAUAGGGGUUUGGCCACUGGAGUAGGGGUAAAGUGUGGUACAGUUGGGCCUGUGUUUUCUGUGGUUGCUGAUCUAUUAGAUUUAACAGGUAUCACUACCUUUUCCAAAUACCUAGUUUGUACUCCUAGAGGAUCUGCACUCACCCUCUUCGUUUUGGACAUCUAUUAUGAAAGAACAACAUUUGACUGGGAAAACAUAGUGUGACGACACAUGGAAUAGGUACAGAAAAUGGAUAGGUAUGGCAUAUACUCAUAUAUGAUGCUUAAACUAAGCAGAUGGUGUAACAAAGUAGAAGUAAUGCAAGAGGUCAGAUGCAAAAUAUGUGCGACCAAUACAACUUUGCAAAGUUAGAGCAAGCACCUUGAUGGGUGAAUAAGAUAGGCCAUCCUCCACCAUGCCAAGUUUGUUAGCUAAUGGAUCAUUCCGCAAUAUUCCUCUCGUGCGCCCAUUCUAAUAUUCAUUUUGAUAAUGUUCAAUAUCUGACAUGCAUCAAAACAUAAAAAACAAGUGAGAUUUUCUUUGUAAUGCAGAAGUGAUUCUAAUCCAAUACUGCCUCCCUAUAAACCCCUUUGUGCUAUCUCUGCAAUUCUUUUAAAAGAUGCCAUGCAUGCUGUAAUUUGUUGUGUGCAUUAAUAUAAUGUGGCCUACUACUCAAAAUAUGAGAGCUCCAGAAGUGAUGACACUUCGCAGAUGAUAGCUUCAACAUAUAGUAAAGAAGAACAAGUCGACCUGACCUGACAGAUUCAAAAUAUACUAAGGGAUAACAACUCGACCUGACCAAUCGACCGCAAGAGAAGAGUAUCAUCUUAAAGAAGAGCAGAAGAGCAAGCAGACUGAAGAUAUUACAAGUCUUUCAAUACAAUGUCGGUUGGCCACCCAUGAUGAACCAGAGCGCACAGAGAAAUACUAUUCUUUACGGUCUCUCCAUAUGUGGUUCACAUGCAUUUCGAAACUAAAGUAGGAACAUUUAGCUAACCAAUUAAACAUCUCUCAGUUUUACUAAUAUCAGCAAUAAUAUCAGAUAUGGAUUUGUACAACUAAGCUUAUUUAGCUCGAUGGGUGGAGCAGUGCUAUUACGACACGAACUAUGUAGGCUGAUUGUGGUCAUCAUAAAAUGGGGAAAACAUAAGCAUGAUGAGUACAAUGUUGACCGUGGCAGUGGGAUGGCAGAUCUGAAGCUGCAAACCACGCAAAGGGUAGUUAGCAACCGAUGUUUGCUUUGAAAUAACAACUAAGAUUUGGUAUGGACAAGAAAGUACGGUCAACAAGUGACAAAGAAAUGCAAUUAUGAUGUCUCUCUAUAUGUCGCGACAUGCAUUUGGAAACUCAAGUGGGACCUUUAGCUAACCAAUUAAAUAUGUCGGUUAACUAAUAUCAGUAUCAUAUCACAAUCAUAUUUGAACAACUAAGCUUUUGAAUUCUGAGUGUUGUGUUGUUUAGCUUGAAGGGUGGAGUAAUGCUAGUAUGACAGAAAGCACCUAUGCCGAUCAUAGUAGAGUAGAUAAAAGGGGAAAACCCUAAGCAUCAAGAGAAAAAUCAGGAAAGUGGAACUAGCUGGACCAGUGGGUGGCACACAUGCUUUUCGAAACGAAUAUAGGAACAUUAGGUGACCAAUUAAACAUUCUCUAUUUUAGUGAUAUGAGCAUCACAUCAGAUUCGUAUUUCAACACGUAAGCUUUGGGUUGAGGUCUUGAGGAGCAGUGCUAGCACGACACGAAGCACCUACGAUGAUGGUAGUGAAUAUAAAGGGGGGGAACCAUAAGCUUUACGAGUAUAGUGCCCGUGCCACGGCAGAUCUGAAGGUGCAAACCGGACAAAGCUACUUCGCAACCAAUGUUUGCUUUCAACUAGCCACUACGAUUUGGUACGGACAAGAAAAGUACAGUAAACAAAUUACGAUCUAUUUUCCGGGUGAGAUCAAUAACUUAAGCACAUAUGGAAGAGUACCACCUCUCUUGCGAUGCCGUGUAGGCCUAUGCUGAUACGUUGAGGGUGCUGCGGGUGCGAUGGCUGUCGGCGGCGGGGAAGAAGACUUUAGACGGCAGACGGCCGGGUCGGGGGAUAUAUCAUCGAAUGAUUUAUUCCACCUUUAUAAAUGAUUAUGAUUUAGAAAUGCCGUGAUCUUCGAAUUCAGUAGGUUGGAUACACUCCGAGUCAAACAGUUAUUUCAUCUUAUGUCAAUCAUACAAUUACUGAGGAUUACCUCGCCUAAAAAAUUCGGAUCAUUACAAUACAUGGACAACAUAAGGGGUCUUGCAACAUAAUCCAUUUAGAGACAUGACACAACAUGCAAGUACAAUAAUCUAAUGACAAUUUCAACUGGUAUCUAAAGAAGAACCAGGAUUACCUUGGGCUUCAGAUAGCAGAAACAGCAGGACCUCCUCCGUCUUCAAAUGCAACAUUCUUACUUCCUCCAAUUCUUGGGUUGCUUGCAUAAUGCGUGCCGCUAAUUCCAUAAUUUCCAGCCUCAAGAUAAAGAUUACCUCAUUCAUGGCAGCCACACCAUCUCUUUCUGCCUCUAGUAGAGCCUCAAGCACUAUAAUAUCUGUGCUCAGACUGCUCUCCGGCGGUGUUGCCUCUAAACUGCUACUAUCUGGUAACGUAGAUGGCACACUGCUUCAACAAAUAGAUUCUGGGGUUGUACAUUGUGUCCUAGUGUGAACGGCAUCCUGAAAGGUUUCCGCUGGACAUCAGUAAGAGAUAGUUAUUGUAUGAUCCAGGCAGUAAGCUUACAUGGUAAACGACGGACGAAUUAUUGCCGAGCAUGGCAAACUAUAUUUAAGUGGUUCGAAGCAGCAUUAGCCGAAAAGAAAUUAAAAUGGUAAGAUGAAACUAGGGAUGUAAGCGGCAAAUAAACAACAUCCGCCAGUCCCAUCUAGUUAGUUUUUGCUACGUCCCUAGUUCAUUUUCCUCAAAAAACAAAAACUCUUUUGAACUAUCAUACCACUAGUGGAUUUUAAUCAGGAUUAAACGGGACCCAGUUGACAUCCCUAGUUGAAAGGGAGUGUACAACCGCUAUAUUUAAGUUGCCAAGGCAUCUAAGCAGUUGAAAUAAUCUAAGAAAGCUCUUAACAGUGUGGCCUCAUAUAAACUACGAAGACAGUCUUGUGAUGAAGUUGAGAGGAAAAGUUAAGGACUCAAAUGAAAUAGGCAUGCAUUUCUUUACGAUAGUACAACAGGCACUACUGACAUAUCGGCCAACUCAGGUAUAGCGUAACAACAAAUAAGCAUUCGAAUCAAGCAAUACAGCAAAGCAGACAACUGAACUAUUUAUAAUUCGGUAGGAUUACACGUUGAGGGCACAAGACAAGAAAGCAGCCCACUCGCAUUACAUUUCACAUGUACUAAAACACACUGGCUUACCAUAUGUUGCUGUGAAGCCUAGCUGUUGUUGCAAUGUUCUUUGAAGAUAUCCUGAGCAUCCCGUGGUUGCAAAUCUAGUUGUUGUAGUUUAUUCUGCACCAUCUAUUUAGGUAAAAUUAAUUUUAAUCGCAUGCACUGGUCCGAAUUGAUCAUUAAUGGUUCAUCUAAACUAAUGAAAGAAGGGUGUGUGCAUACACGACAACAUAUCUGCUUCCCUCUAUUUUUAUGCUUGUUCAAGGUGCUAGCCCCAAAAGAACAAUUUUUUAGCUUGAUGGGGUUGGCAGAUCCAUAAUUAAUAGAAGCAUCAAAUUAGUCAUGCAACUUGGGAAGAUCAAGAACACACAAACAAGUAAUGAACAGAGGCUCGGAGCAGUGAUGUAAUAGCUAGCAUCAGAAAAUGUAGGGUAAACCAAACAAAAAACAGCAGAACCACAUGCUAGUUUGCUGAUGUGUAAUUAAGCAUAGAGAACAUUAAGCAGUCUGAUGGAACCAACAGGUGGCAUCAAAACAAAACUAAAGCAUAUUAACUAUAUGUGCACUGGUAUGUAAUUUAGCACAUGUAACAUGUUCAAUGCCAGAAGUAUGGCCCUACAGAUGCAAGCAGAAUAACGCGUCUCAUGAAAAACUGAAUGAUGCCCUGAAGAAAUUCAAAGGUGCGGUGCUUAUGCUAGGAAAGUGAACAUAGGCGCCGGCCGUUGGAUAAUAGUACCUGAUUCUCGGUGGUGUAUGGGUAUCGUUGUCAUACUUGAUAGCUAAGGAUCGUCGAUGGUGCUCGUGUUGCGGUUGAGUUUGGGCCGGCUGUCGUCAUUGCUGAAGCGGCUUCGGUGCUAUGGUUGCGGCGCCUGUCGACAUACAAGAAAGCUCAUCUAUGGUAAGUGAACAGUUGCACGGUGAAGAGAAAAACCGAAGGAGUACAAAUUGAAAUAACCUGAUGAGGCUGCGGCAUCGGUAAAGCAGGGCGGUGGAGUUGAAUAUGGCGUUCGUGGAGCGGGUCCGGUGAAGUGGAUGAAGGCUUCGGCGGGCGCGUUGUACAGUGCUUUCGGUGAGGCGGAUCUAUUGCGGCGGACGAGGGCUUGUAUGAAGGGCCAGCGAAGGGGCGGACAAGGGAGUCAGUGAAGGGCCUACGCUGUGGUGGACGAGGGUGCCGGUUAAGCAGAUCCGGUGUGGUGGACCAUGAUGGCGGUCAAGGAGAUCUGGAGCGGUGGACAAGCCAGUCGCUGAAGCGGCUCCGGUGAAGUGGUGAGUUGGNNNNNNNNNNNNNNNNNNNNNNNNNNNNNNNNNNNNNNNNNNNNNNNNNNNNNNNNNNNNNNNNNNNNNNNNNNNNNNNNNNNNNNNNNNNNNNNNNNNNNNNNNNNNNNNNNNNNNNNNNNNNNNNNNNNNNNNNNNNNNNNNNNNNNNNNNNNNNNNNNNNNNNNNNNNNNNNNNNNNNNNNNNNNNNNNNNNNNNNNNNNNNNNNNNNNNNNNNNNNNNNNNNNNNNNNNNNNNNNNNNNNNNNNNNNNNNNNNNNNNNNNNNNNNNNNNNNNNNNNGCUGCGGCGGAGGACUAGAUUCGGCGGCUUGCCGUGGUUGGGGGGGGGGCGGGGAGGGGAAGGGGAGGGGCUCUGGGGAAGAAUGUUGGGGGCAAAGAGGGGAAAACAAUGGAGUUACCAAAGCAGCCUUUUUCCGUUCAUGUGGCAGCGGUAAAACAGGAAUAUCACAGGGCUAAACUUUCGGGUGCGUGAUAUUUCGAUGUGAGCGGGAAGUUUGAAAGCUUUUGGCGCCUAAAAUUAUAAGUAUUCUGCUCUCGUACGACCGACUAUGAUAUCAUGGCCGACAAUUUGUUUGUUUUGCACGCAAAAAAUGUGCAAGUUUUGAAAAUCAAUGUCUCCAACUCGAAAUUUAGAUUGUCCAUUCAAUUCAAAUAUGGAUCAUUGAGCUACUACAAGCAAAUACCAUUAUACGGUCCAAUUCAAAUGAAAUUCCAAAUGUGUUUAUCCUAAAUAUGAUGACAAAAGAAAAAAUGUGUAUGUGUAUGAAUAAAGUGGAUGAUUAUAAAGUUUGAACAUGCCCGUAUGUGUAUAUCUCUAGGUUUGAUAUAUGAAUUUGAAAUCACGAAAUCCCGGCUUAAAGAAUGUACCUCUGUUUAAAUGAAUUACAAAAGCUAACGAAGGAGUCGAAUUCCAAAAUUCCAAUCUUAGGUUUGUAAUUCUGGUACAUCAAGGUAUAUCACGCAUGUUCAAAAGUAUCGUUAUCUCAUAGUACAAACUGUGAAACAAAUUGAUCAACCAUGAGUGCACAAUAUCUCAAUUACGCUAAAGUCCCUCAAAUAUAGACACCUCACUCUUUAUCUUAAGUCACCCCCACCACCACACACACAUACACACACACAUAGAGAGAGAGGUCGUUCUCUCCCCCAAACACCAACACACUAGCAUAUUAACACCCCUCUCUCUUGUAAAGUCCAGACCCCAACAUAGGUCUCUAUCACUUUGUCUCUCGGGCAUGCACACAUCUCUUCCCUCACUCUCUAGGUCUCCCACUAUCUCUCUUACCCAAGCACACACACUAUGUAGAGUGUAUAUUUCCCAUACACACAAAAUGUCGCCCCCAAACGUCUAUCUCCCUAGUUAUGUGGUUCUCGCGCACUCACCUCACACACCACCCCCACUGCAAACAAGCACACUUUGUCUCCUUGUGCACCACUCUCCUCUUUCUAUCUCUCCCACAUGCGGACCCGCCCCAGCUCCUUCCCUGUAUACAUAUAUGUCGUGACUCUUUGCAUAGCUCCCUAAUGUAUAAUCGUUCUCGAUUUCGCACAUUGUUCUCUACACCAUCUAUUCUAGAUCUCUCAUGAAGUCCCUAUCACACACAUGAUGACUCGCUUCCCUUGCGUCUCCGUUCAUAGGCCAAUUUCGGACAACAUCAACAUUGUCUCCCUAUCUAUACGCCAUUUAUGGACACAAACGACCCCUCUCGCCCCCUCUCUUCCUCUCUCUCUCUCUCCCUCUCUCUCUCUGUCGCUAGCUCUCUCUUUCUCUCGCUCUCACACCCCUCUCCCACACACACACACUCGAUGUCUCUUCCAAAUAGUCUGCUCCCCCUCCCACACCCGUGCUAUCUCGCUACUACACAUGUCACACCAUUCCCCCUUCCCUUAUACUAGGUUUACAUCAUGAGUGGUCUCACAUACACUCUCUCACUCUCACACACAAACGCGUGCACAAACACACACAAACACGCACAAACACCCAUUUAUCUGGAUCCUCAUCUCUCCUCAUGUUCGCAUGUGUAUCUCACACACUCACUCUCUAAUUAUGUAUAUGUGUCUCCACAUUACACAACACAAAGCCCCAUGUACAUGUCUCUCUCUAUCCUCCACACACAUAGACACAAAGAAUAUGUUAUCAUUGCCUUAGUCUCUAACAUAUCACACACGGACACUGUCUCUCUCUCUCUCUCUCUCUCUCUCUCGCAAACACGAUCAACAAGGGUUUCCCCGUGAAUAACUUACCGUCUAUUCAUCAACAGUCGUGGCAGUACGACGAACACGAGAUGUGAAAAAGAAUAAAUCUACACGUGCUUAGACCACCUAGUAUGACUACUAGGACUAGAGGAAGCCAAAAAGCGUGCCGCCGUCACCCCCUCCUUGUCGGCGACGGGAAAAUCUUUGUUUUACACAGUCGAGAAGUCAUUGUGCUAAGGCCCCACAUGCCGAGGCGUUGAAUGGAAUGUAGAUGCUAGUUUACGGAAGCAAGUAUCGAUAAUACGUUUGUAUCUCCAUACUUAUAUUUCUUCUCUUAUAAAAAACCGAGUUGGUGGUGAUGGUACGUGUGCCAUCUUGUAAUAUAGAUCGUCCGAUCUAUAUCUGACGGAUGGAAAUUGAACUAAACAAUACCCGCACCCCUCUCCACAUUUGCAGACAAGGCCUUCCCUCGUUCAUCCUUAUCUCCAACAAACCUCAUUGUUGAGCAAUUAAGAAAGGAAGCCUCUGGAACAAACUGGCCUGGUGGCCGCUGCCGGCAUCGUCAAUCCCCAUGCCUCCGCUCAAUCCGACCACCAACCACCACCACACCCCACUCCUCUUCACCUUAUCUCAUAUUUCUCGAGAUAUCAUUAGUUUUUACACAUGGGAUUACUCCCGCAAGGGUCAAUCACAACAAGUGUUUUAUAAAAAAAAUGCAUCUUGAUGUUCCGUGCAAUGCACGGAUCUUGCUAGUACUCCUACACAAGACUAAGUUGGUGAUGCUGGUGUGUCUGCCAUCCGUUGUUUCUGACCAUUAGAUCUACAUCUAAUGAUUGUGAGGUAAGUUGUUGCCUUUUCUCACCAACAUCCCACUUGUCUACCAAUUUGCAGAAAACCCCAUAAUUAGUAUCUUAAAACCAACCACAUCCCUCCCUAACCUCACCAAAACAGCCCAAGGAAUAUAUUCUAAUUGAAACAUAAUAUAUCUCUAGUGACAUAUGUAUAUCAAAAUUAGAGUGUUUUGUACCAAGUUUGCUAAUAAGUAUUAUUCUAAUUAUGAUUCAUUGCAACAGACAUGAACAUUGCUAGUAUUUCCAACCAUGCAUUUUUUCCUAGUAUUCAUAGUUUCGAGUUUUCCAUCAAGAUAUUAGUCACUCAUGGUUGAUAUUUACUUUCAAUCAUGUACACAUAUGCACUAUGUAACUAGCCUUGUUUAUUGGCUUCCAAAGCUUAACUUUCACUCCUACCUACAAUAUGUAGAGUAUUUAAC
Molecule: long non-coding RNA, 38287 nt
Filed under: Triticum aestivum (bread wheat)
Lineage: Eukaryota; Viridiplantae; Streptophyta; Magnoliopsida; Poales; Poaceae
Description: long non-coding RNA (TAES_LNC015271)
Source: RNAcentral